Molecule: ribosomal RNA, 468 nt
Filed under: uncultured bacterium
Lineage: Bacteria
Description: partial 16S ribosomal RNA
Rfam family: Bacterial small subunit ribosomal RNA
Source: RNAcentral
GACGAACGCUGGCGGCGUGCUUAACACAUGCAAGUCGAACGGAAAGGCCCUGCUUUUGUGGGGUGCUCGAGUGGCGAACGGGUGAGUAACACGUGAGUAACCUGCCCUUGACUUUGGGAUAACUUCAGGAAACUGGGGCUAAUACCGGAUAGGAGCUCCUGCUGCAUGGUGGGGGUUGGAAAGUUUCGGCGGUUGGGGAUGGACUCGCGGCUUAUCAGCUUGUUGGUGGGGUAGUGGCUUACCAAGGCUUUGACGGGUAGCCGGCCUGAGAGGGGGACCGGCCACAGUGGGACUGAGAUACGGCCCAGACUCCUACGGGAGGCAGCAGUGGGGAAUAUUGCACAAUGGGCGGAAGCAUGAUGCAGCAACGCCGCGUGCGGGAUGACGGCCUUCGGGUUGUAAACCGCUUUCGCCUGUGACGAAGCGUGAGUGACGGUAAUGGGUAAAGAAGCACCGGCUAACUACGUG